AGGAUGUAAGUAGCUUUGUGGAUGCACGCCAGGAACUCAGCCUUCAAAAUGAGGCCUAGCAGGUGGCAACACUGCCUACCCCCUAAGCUACAGAGAGGCUGGAACUAUAUGAUCUUCUAAGAUCAUUUCCACCCAACUCAAGACAUUCUAUGAGUCUAUGAUAUUUUUUCUCACCAACAACAGUUCAACAGAUCACCUGUGAUAUUUCACUAUCACAAAUAACUGAAUUUAACUGGUGCUUGCUAAUUUUAAGUAUGUGUGCAAUGUCAUGUGGUGGGCAUCCUUGCUUGAGACUAGGCAUGUGCCAUGGUCUUCAAGACUCAAAAGCAGAUCUUAAGUCCUAAAAAUCAUGCAGAAUAGAAAGUGUGGAACGAGGCACUUCCAGUGUCUCAGUUAUUGAAGCAGUGUCCAAACCCUCCAUCUGGUUUAGGUUAUCUGAAAAUAGUUCAGCACACAAUAUUAUUGAGACAGAUAGUUAUGUAUGUUAAUAAGGAAUUUAAGCAAUAUGAUUUAUAAGAUGCAAAUAUGCACUCCUCUGGUUUCCCAGCUAAAUCCUAGGAAUGCAUUGCUUGGAAUUUCACAGAGCAGUCACAGAACCCCAGCAUUUGCAUUUUAUUCAUUCUUGGGAAAACACAGUACUGAAGUCGUUGUAACUCCCUCUUCAGAGAAGACUUUACUACAUAGGUUUGCUCCGACAGUUCAUAGAUCUGCCAAGCUGAAAGGACACCAUCUCCGAUGGAAGCCUGUAGCCCAUUUCUUCUGCCCCAGUACACAGAUGGAGAUUUGUCCAUUUCCUCUAGAGUAAAUCAAUAUGGCUGUGCUACCAUUGAUGAAGAAGCAUUCUGGCAAGCCUGUGUUCAAAUUUGCCUCAAGUCACGACUGAAAUGAAUUCUCCAAGUUCCAGAGAAGUGUGCAGCACAGACCUAUCACCAAACCCAGAGCCAAAAUUUCCCCAUGCAAUGGGAUGCUGAUGGAGCAAGGUGCCGUAGCAGAGGGGUAAUGUGGCACUGCCUGGCUCUGGUUUAAGCCACUAGUUGCAUGCCUUCAGGAGAACAAGCCUCACCAAAAGCGCAUGAACAGAAACAUGCAUCAUGGUAAUUGGUGGAGGUGAGACCCAGAUGUUUUAAUGAAGUGAUCUCCAUUACUGGCUGCUAAUUUGGACAUUUUCUGAGCGUCCGCUAUUCUUAUCAAUAGGGUAGGGCUUUCUGGUUCAUUUUUUCUGUGUUCUCUUGGAGCACGUUUAGCUGAUAGCAUCAGUGUCUGUUUGGUAGCAGUAAGAGCCCUGCCCAUGCAGGUACUGUGGAAACUAGAGACAGGAUUUUGCCAGUUGGGACAGGAAUGUUUAUUUGAAUGUAAGGAGAGAACCAGAUCUAUGGCUGCUGUAUCUGCCACAAGUCUCAGAAGGCAUAAACUGACAGACUUGGAAAUAGUACUGUGCCCACUGAAGCAGUGAAAAAAAGCAACAAUAAAAACCCUUUUGAGAGCA
This 1486-nucleotide long non-coding RNA is filed under the name Phasianus colchicus (ring-necked pheasant). RNAcentral's name for it is "lncRNA (ENSPCLG00000010677.1)". The record is from RNAcentral. Lineage: Eukaryota; Metazoa; Chordata; Aves; Galliformes; Phasianidae.